This 892-nucleotide ribosomal RNA is filed under the name uncultured bacterium. Its description in RNAcentral is "bacterial SSU rRNA". It matches the Rfam family "Bacterial small subunit ribosomal RNA", at positions 505 to 1397 of the family's 1533-position model. The record is from RNAcentral.
GUGCCAGCCGCCGCGGUAAUACGUAGGUGGCAAGCGUUGUCCGGAUUUAUUGGGCGUAAAGCGAGCGCAGGCGGUUUCUUAAGUCUGAUGUGAAAGCCUUCGGCUCAACCGAAGAAGUGCAUCGGAAACUGGGAAACUUGAGUGCAGAAGAGGACAGUGGAACUCCAUGUGUAGCGGUGAAAUGCGUAGAUAUAUGGAAGAACACCAGUGGCGAAGGCGGCUGUCUGGUCUGUAACUGACGCUGAGGCUCGAAAGCAUGGGUAGCAAACAGGAUUAGAUACCCUGGUAGUCCAUGCCGUAAACGAUGAGUGCUAGGUGUAGGAGGGUUUCCGCCCUUCAGUGCCGCAGCUAACGCAUUAAGCACUCCGCCUGGGGAGUACGACCGCAAGGUUGAAACUCAAAGGAAUUGACGGGGGCCCGCACAAGCGGUGGAGCAUGUGGUUUAAUUCGAAGCAACGCGAAGAACCUUACCAGGUCUUGACAUCCUUUGACCACUCUAGAGAUAGAGCUUUCCCUUCGGGGACAAAGUGACAGGUGGUGCAUGGUUGUCGUCAGCUCGUGUCGUGAGAUGUUGGGUUAAGUCCCGCAACGAGCGCAACCCUUAUUACUAGUUGCCAGCAUUUAGUUGGGCACUCUAGUGAGACUGCCGGUGACAAACCGGAGGAAGGUGGGGACGACGUCAAAUCAUCAUGCCCCUUAUGACCUGGGCUACACACGUGCUACAAUGGAUGGUACAACGAGUCGCGAGACCGCGAGGUUUAGCUAAUCUCUUAAAACCAUUCUCAGUUCGGAUUGUAGGCUGCAACUCGCCUACAUGAAGCCGGAAUCGCUAGUAAUCGCGGAUCAGCAUGCCGCGGUGAAUACGUUCCCGGGCCUUGUACACACCGCCCGU